CGCCACAGGAGAGCCAGGAGGGCGGGAGAUCCCCGUACGAGGACCGGGCUGAGGCGAGGCAGUGGGGGAAAUGGAGCCGGGGUAUCAUUCAUUCUAUUUUAUUUAACUUUAAGCAGGGCUUGAUCAGAAAGAAGAGCUCAGAGGAGUGAGGCAACACCAACACCAGGGCGUACGAUACACCCGAGGCUCCUCCGACACCAGUUCCAGCCCGGAAGGGCUUGGAAUGGCCUGCCACGCCGGGGCAAUGGAGCGCGUGAAAGCCAAACCUUGGGACCCGAAGAGUAAUUUGACUGCGAAGGCACCGUCAUCGUCGGGCACCCCCUGUAGACGGGCGCAUAAUAGCUACAUCUCUGGAGAUAGUGAUGGAAACUGGGGUCCGAUAGAUGGAGAGAAGGACGUAGGAUAAGGCUUCUUGUGGGGUGAAGAGGCAGAGGGCACCUGGAGAGAGGUGUGGCAUGGAGAACCAGGGGUUUUCCCUAGCAGAGGGCGGCUUCGUGGACUUCGGCCAACCGGCGGGUGCUUCCCUCGAGCGGCCGCUAGAUGGUGGUGCUGUUCUGGAUGCUUCCAGUGGGCCCCGACCAGGUCUGGACAAUGCCUGGCGCCCGUCCCCCGCCCCUCAUCUACACACACGCAAGAAUUCGGAGUUCCAUGUGGAGAGAGGUUAAGUUUCGCCCUUGCCCGGGGAAUUAUGACACUCAGAAUAUCCCCUUGGUGUAAAUGGAAGACACCUGAGAAAAGAGAGAAAGUAGAUUCGCAGUGAAGCACAGCCAUCCAGAUGCCCUGUUUCCCCCUGCCUUC
This 798-nucleotide long non-coding RNA is filed under the name Homo sapiens (human). RNAcentral's name for it is "non-protein coding lnc-SOX15-4:1". The record is from RNAcentral. Lineage: Eukaryota; Metazoa; Chordata; Mammalia; Primates; Hominidae.